RNAcentral lists this ribosomal RNA (578 nucleotides) under uncultured fungus. RNAcentral describes it as "eukaryotic LSU rRNA". The stretch from base 467 to 578 matches the Rfam family "Eukaryotic large subunit ribosomal RNA", at positions 1 to 113 of the family's 3401-position model. The record is from RNAcentral. Lineage: Eukaryota; Fungi.
ACCGAGGUUAAGUGGUCGCUGUGUUACCUCUUGUUGAGGCACACGUUAAAGAUCGUUCCGCGUUGUGAGUCUAACACUUUGUAAACUUUUACAACCGGCAGCGCUGGAUCCCUUGGCACGUCAUUCGAUGAAGACCGUUGCAAAUUGCGAUAAAGUGAUGUGAUGCGCAAGUCCACCACUUAUACGUGAAUCAUCGAGUUGUUGAACGCAUUGCACCGCGCCCUAAUCCGGCUGCGGUAUGCCCCUUUGAGCGUCAUUUAUUCCUUCGGGAGUCUUUCCUUGCGAAAGACCCGAGUUCGGAGUCCUCGGUCUUUGGAUCGUGUUCUCUCAGAUGCGUCGCGCCGAUCGCCUGAUGGGUACUCUAAUGCCUGAGCGUGGAGUCCCUCUGGAGUUGAGACGUGCUUGACCGGCCGUUGGGCUCGUGUCACCAAGUCCGCGUCCUUUGGGACGGCGGUACUACAACGCAUGACCUCAUUGGGGUAGGACAACCCGCUAGACUUAAGCAUAUUAAUCAGCGGAGGAAAAGAAACUAACCAGGAUUCCCCUAGUAACUGCGAGUGAAGAGGGAUCGGCUCAAU